CAGCGCCUCUGGAGGCCCCACAGCAGGAACUUUCCUGGCAGGGGCUGCACUUUGGCUCUCCCUCGGCCUCCCUGGCCAGGCUGGCAGGGGCUGCAGUUCAGAAAAGAGGUGAAAGAACGAUUCCCCAGGUGAUCUUGAUGCUGAAUGUCUCCCUAGGAGAUCUGGGCAUGGAGAGGAACAAGCCCCUUGCAGGCUGACCCAUUUUGGACAACCUGCUCCUCACCCCAGCCUCACCAUGUCUGACAUGGCCCACCUGGGACUGACAUCCCAAAACAUAAAAAAGUAUGCAUUUUAAAAAUAAAUAAGAUUGAUUAAUUUAUAAAAUUAUAAUUAUAGUUUUUUUAAUUUAUAUUAGUAUUACUGUAUAUUUCUAUUACCUUUGAUAUUUAUGUGAAAAAUUGAAUACAUUUUUAGCAGUCAAAAAAUUAUUUGUCAUUGGUUUUAAAUAAAACAAUUCCUUUCAUUAAAUCAUUGACCACUACUGGCCAUUUAUUUCUCCUUCUUAAUGCUAAUUAGUGCUAUUUUUAGAUCUUUUGACAUAUUUUUUUAUUAUUUUCAUGGACAGGGUAAAAGGGGCCACUUUGGGGUCCCUGGAGACAUUUCUGGGGCACAUUUGGGGCAGUUUUGGGUCUGGGCAGUAUGAUAAACAAGUCCACUGAAUUUAAGGAUCAAAUAAUUAUCUUUAUUAUUUUGCAAGCAAGAAUAAGCAAGGACAGCUCUGGGCGGCCCGGAGUCUCCGCUCCACUUUGGCUCACAAAAUCCUAUCCCCUGAGUCCACCCUUUAUUGCCUUCUUCUCCGGGUUUAGGGAUGACGUGAUCUGUCUUCUGCACUUGCUCGUUCAGUUGCUCGGGGGUCUUUUUCUGCCUUCUGGUGGUCGUGGGAUGAAGGCUUAGUCCCCCUUAGUCUUCCUCUUUGUGAAUGCUGAGUGAACUUAUGCCUUAUAAGGCAUAUCUAUACAGAACACUAUACACUUUCUGCAAGCUAAGCAAUUCUUACUAGUACUAUACACUUUCUGCAAGCUCAGAAAUUCUAGCGAGUUUAAGGAUUGCUAUUACAGCUGCUUCUCAUUACUUUCCUUUCACAAGGCAUAACUUUACAAUGGAAUUCCCAAAGCACUAUAGUAAACCAGCAACCAUAUGUAUCUGCACGAGAAGUUUUUUGGCUAUUUAACUAUUGUUUUAUAUUGUAUAGUUAUUUAGCUAUUGAUUUAAUUAAUGAACAAACGUAUUACUACUUAUUACAAAUCCCCCAUUUCUUUUUUUACCAAUUUUGUUCAUUAAAUCUUUCUAGUUCUUUCUUAGCAAGCAUUAAAUGAGCUGCCUCAUCAGUUAAGCUAUGUGCACUAAUUAUAGGUACUAACUUCCUUAGUUUCUUCAUCAUAUUCCAAUUCAUAAUGAAUGGAACUGCUGACAAAAUAAAACCAAGCACAGUCAAUAUCAACAGAACAACAAUGGGAUGGCAUAUACUGUUUAGGACCCCUGCGGCAUUAGGAGACCAACCGAAAAGGGUAUCCCACUGGAUGUCACUCUGGAAAUGCCAGUGGCUCUGGAAAUGCCAGCUGAGAGCUCUGGCAGUGACUGACACUGCACUGAGAGGGGCCACAGUCCUGCAAGGGGCUUUCAUCAGGAGCAAAGAGCAGCCUGGAGGGUGGGCAAUGCUGGAUCUGUACCACUGCGUGCUCAUCCUUCACCUGAAUGUGGAGCUGCCCCCAAAGUUGCCAUGGAUCACUUUUUCUUUUUCUCCUCUUGGGUAUAUUUUGGAGCAGCUGUUCUAUGUGGCUUUUAAUGGUGAUCCUGUGGCAAGCAGCCAUUUGCCUGCUGUGCUAUCCUCACAACUAAUACUAACUCCUCAUUCCCUGUAGUUUUAUUUGGGGUUUUUGAUCUAUUUGUUGGACUGGUUUGCGUGGGUUUGUUUGUUUGUAUGGGUUUUUGUCUGAUUUGGUUUGAGGAUUUUGUUUGCUUUUUUAUAAAUGACUGGUGAAGUUUUCCAAACUCAAGAAAAUGUAAAGCAGGCUCGACUUUGCAGAAAUUACUUUGGGCUGGGUUUAGCUGCAUCCCCCAGGCUCAGGAUCACUAGUAUAUUUUCAGGUUUUGCUCUGCAUAUCAGCCUGCCCACUCUCCGCUUGGUGUUUCACAAAUGGAGAAGACAAUGGACAUUGUGCCAAGCUUCCUUUCAAACAGAAAAACCUGGGUCAGCAUGACAGAAAAGAAGAAACAAAAAAUCA
This is a long non-coding RNA of Passer domesticus (house sparrow), 2225 nucleotides long. RefSeq lists it as uncharacterized. NCBI's taxonomy places the organism in Eukaryota, Metazoa, Chordata, Aves, Passeriformes, Passeridae. The transcript has 2 exons. The record is from RefSeq and is a predicted model, not a curated record.